Ribosomal RNA from Aotus nancymaae (Ma's night monkey), 111 nucleotides. Lineage: Eukaryota; Metazoa; Chordata; Mammalia; Primates; Aotidae. The record is from Ensembl.
GCCCCCAGUCACCAUAGCAGCCUGAGGGUGCCCCAGCCCAUAAGCUAAGCGGGGUUGAACCUGGCUGGUGUUUGGAUGGGGGAUCACAUGGAAAGACCGGGCCUGGAGACU